This 772-nucleotide long non-coding RNA is filed under the name Ictidomys tridecemlineatus (thirteen-lined ground squirrel). RNAcentral describes it as "lncRNA (ENSSTOG00000032197.1)". Lineage: Eukaryota; Metazoa; Chordata; Mammalia; Rodentia; Sciuridae. The record is from RNAcentral.
AACUGCAGCCCCCUGUCUAUCAUGGUCGUGCACUCCUCUGAGGGGAGCGUGAUGUCCACUGGGUUCUCCAAAAGCUCCACCUCAUUCCCAAGCCAGACCCAGUCAUGGGAGUGGGGUAUGUUGCCCUGCUCGCUCACCACAAGCCUUUUGUGUCUGUACUUCCAGGCAAACGCCACGCAGUUGAUAAGGAAGACCAGGAUGGACAGGCAGAAGAUGCAGAGCAGGGCGUACAUGCCGAUCUCCAAGUCUGUCAAGCCCCUGGAGGCCACUGUAAGGCAGCAGCAGGGUUGUGCUCCUGUUGGUCCUGUCCUCUGGGCCAGCAGGGCCCCCACACUGGAGCCACUCCUGGGCUACUCGCUCCUGGCUCCAUUCCCACUCUAUGGAGUUGCUCAGGUGAUCUUUGUAUUCCCAGUUCACACCCUCAAUGUCAUUGCUGCCUCCUCGGUGUUCCUCCUUCAUGCCUGGUGCAAACCUGACCUUGACGCUUCCUUUACCCACAGCAAGAACACUCUUCCUCUUGGUCUUCUGGCAAGGCUCACUGAUCAUCAUCUCCAACUUUAUCAGGGGCCCUUGUCCUUCGCCCUCUGCAACCACAACCGGCCACUGGGACUGCAAGUUUGGCUGGACAGACACCACCAUUUCAUCCAAUGAUGAGACAGUUAUGGAAAAAUCUUUGGAAUCAUAAAUGUCUAAAGGUGUCACGGAGCCAUCACUGAACAAAAUCCAAGAACUGACUAUGGCUUCCUGAGGGAAACAAAAUCAAAGCAUGAUC